RNAcentral lists this ribosomal RNA (254 nucleotides) under uncultured bacterium. RNAcentral describes it as "partial 16S ribosomal RNA". It matches the Rfam family "Bacterial small subunit ribosomal RNA", at positions 524 to 777 of the family's 1533-position model. The record is from RNAcentral.
UACGAAGGGGGCUAGCGUUGUUCGGAAUUACUGGGCGUAAAGCGUAUGCAGGCGGAUCGUUAAGUCGGGGGUGAAAUCCCGAGGCUCAACCUCGGAACUGCCUUCGAUACUGGCGAUCUUGAGUCCGGGAGAGGUGAGUGGAACUCCGAGUGUAGAGGUGAAAUUCGUAGAUAUUCGGAAGAACACCAGUGGCGAAGGCGGCUCACUGGCCCGGUACUGACGCUGAGAUACGAAAGCGUGGGGAGCAAACAGGG